GCCGAAAUAGCUCAGUUAGGAGAGCGUUAGACUGAAUAUCUAAAGGUCCCUGGUUCGAUUAAGUCUGACUGACCA
Non-coding RNA from Cordylochernes scorpioides, 75 nucleotides. The record is from the annotation of a GenBank genome assembly. Lineage: Eukaryota; Metazoa; Arthropoda; Arachnida; Pseudoscorpiones; Chernetidae.